This 520-nucleotide unclassified non-coding RNA is filed under the name uncultured Entrophospora. Its description in RNAcentral is "SSU rRNA". It matches the Rfam family "Eukaryotic small subunit ribosomal RNA", at positions 569 to 1083 of the family's 1831-position model. The record is from RNAcentral. Lineage: Eukaryota; Fungi; Glomeromycota; Glomeromycetes; Entrophosporales; Entrophosporaceae.
AGCAGCCGCGGUAAUUCCAGCUCCAAUAGCGUAUAUUAAAGUUGUUGCAGUUAAAAAGCUCGUAGUUGAAUUUCGGGAUUGACGUGAUGGUCAUGCCUUAAGGGGUAUGAACUGUUACUGUUGAUUUCUCACCUUCUGGAGAAACUUGAUGUCCUUUAUUGGGUGUCUUGCGGAUCCAGGACCUUUACCUUGAAAAAAUUAGAGUGUUUAAAGCAGGCAUUUUUGCUCGAAUACAUUAGCAUGGAAUAAUAGAAUAGGACGGCAUGGUUCUAUUUUGUUGGUUUCUAGGAUCACCGUAAUGAUUAAUAGGGAUAGUUGGGGGCAUUAGUAUUCAAUUGUCAGAGGUGAAAUUCUUGGAUUUAUUGAAGACUAACUACUGCGAAAGCAUUUGCCAAGGAUGUUUUCAUUAAUCAAGAACGAAAGUUAGGGGAUCGAAGACGAUCAGAUACCGUCGUAGUCUUAACCAUAAACUAUGCCGACUAGGAAUCAGACGAUGUAAUUUUUUCAAUGACUCGUUUGG